AGAACGAACGCUGGCGGCAGGCCUCAAACAUGCAAGUCUAGGGGGUGCAGCAAUGCAUCACCGGCGGACGGGUGCGUAACACGUGGGAAUAUACCUUUCGGUACGGAACAACUGCGGGAAACUGCAGCUAAUACCGUAUACGUCCUUACGGAGAAAGAUUUAUCGCCGAAGGAUUAGCCCGCGUAGGAUUAGCUAGUUGGUGGGGUAAUGGCUCACCAAGGCUCCGAUCCUUAGCUGUUCUGAGAGGAAGAUCAGCCACACUGGGACUGAGACACGGCCCAGACUCCUACGGGAGGCAGCAGUUGGGAAUCUUGGACAAUGGGGGAAACCCUGAUCCAGCCAUGCCGCGUGAGUGAUGAAGGCCUUCGGGUUGUAAAACUCUUUCGACGGGGACGAUAAUGACGGUACCGUAGAAGAAGCUCCGGCUAACUUCGUGCCAGCAGCCGC
This 447-nucleotide ribosomal RNA is filed under the name uncultured bacterium. RNAcentral's name for it is "SSU rRNA". It matches the Rfam family "Bacterial small subunit ribosomal RNA", at positions 26 to 518 of the family's 1533-position model. The record is from RNAcentral.